AAAACCCCGGAUCCAAUCCCAAAAUCCCGGUUCCAGUCCCAAAGUCCCGGUUCCAAUCCCAAAAUCCCGGUUCCAAUCCCAAAACCCCGGAUCCAAUCCCAAAACCCCGGAUCCAAUCCCAAAACCCCGGAUCCAAUCCCAAAACCCCGGUUCCAAUCCCAAAAUCCCAGAUCCAAUCCCAAAAUCCCGGUUCCAAUCCCAAAACCCCGGAUCCAAUCCCAAAACCCCAGAUCCAAUCCCAAAACCCCAGAUCCAAUCCCAAUACCCCGGAUCCAAUCCCAAAAUCCCGGUUCCAAUCCCAAAACCCCGGUUCCAAUCCCAAAAUCCCGGUUCCACUCCCAAACUCCCGGUUCCAAUCCCCAAACCCCGGAUCCAAUCCCAAAACCCCAUUUCCAAUCCCAAAAUCCCGGAUCCAGUCCCAAAAUCCCGGUUCCAAUCCCGGGACAGCCGGGGAGGACGCGGCUCCCGAAGCGGCAGCUCCAGAAUUCCGGGGUUGGCGCCCGGAAUUCCGGGGUUGGCAGCGGCCGCCGCUUUUCUCCCGCCCGGAGCGGGGAUCUCCGGUGGGCCGUGAAAUCCCAAUCUGCGCCGGGAAUUAUCGGGAAAUUCAUCCGGAGCCUCGCGGCUGCCGGCACCGACCGGAGCCGGCUUUCCUCCUGAAUCCUGCUGCUCCGUGGCCUCGGAACCCCGGGGUCUUGGGAUCCUGGGAACCCGGAAUUCCAGAAGCCAAAGAUCUCAGAACCCCAGAAUUCCAGAAUUCCAGAGCCCCAAAAUCCCAGAAUUCCAGAGCCCCCAAAUCCCAGAAUUCCAGAGCCCCAGAAUUCCAGAAUCCAACAAACCCAGAACUCCAGAAUCCAAAAAUCCUGGAAUUCCAGAAUCCAAAGAUCCCAGAACCCCAAAAUCCCAGAAUUCCAGAGCCCCAGAAUCCCAGAAUCCAAAAAUCCUGGAAUUCCAGAAUUGCAGAAUCCAAAGAUCUCAAAACCCCCAAAUCCCAGAAUUCCAGAGCCCCAGAAUUCCAGAAUCCAAAAAUCCUGGAAUUCCAGAAUCCAAAAAAUCCCAGAACCCCGAAAUCCCAGAAUUCCAGGACCCCAGAAUUCCAGAAUUCCAGAAUCCAAAGUUCCCAGAAUUCCAGGACCCCAGAAUUCCAGAAUCCAAAAAUCCUGGAAUUCCAGAAUCCAAAGAUCCCAGAACCCCAGCAUUCCAGAACCCCAGAAUUCCAGAAUCCAAAGUUCCCAGAAUUCCAGAAUCCCAGAAUUCCAGAACCCCAGAAUCCCAGAAUCCCAGGAUUUCCGAGCUUGGGAAAAAUCCCUCCGCAUUCCAAGCCCGGCUCACCCAGGAAUUCCAGGAAGGAGAUUCCUCCCGGAAUUCCCGACUCGGGGAGAGAAAAUCCGGGAAUUUCGUGGCGCCAAAAAAAAACCCCAAAACUUGGGAAGCGGUUGGGGGGACGACACAAAACCCCCGGGAGCGGCUCCGAGGGCGGGAAUCCCGCUCCGGAAUCAUCCCAAGGCUUUUCCAGGGAUUUCCAGGGGUGUUGUUUUUCCCUCUGGAAUUUUCCUCCCAGGCCCUUCCUGGCGCUAAUUCCCGGAAUCUCCUUGUUUUCGUCUGGGAUUUG
This 1609-nucleotide long non-coding RNA is filed under the name Cyanistes caeruleus (blue tit). RNAcentral describes it as "lncRNA (ENSCCEG00000004338.1)". The record is from RNAcentral. Lineage: Eukaryota; Metazoa; Chordata; Aves; Passeriformes; Paridae.